This 253-nucleotide ribosomal RNA is filed under the name uncultured bacterium. RNAcentral's name for it is "partial 16S ribosomal RNA". It matches the Rfam family "Bacterial small subunit ribosomal RNA", at positions 524 to 776 of the family's 1533-position model. The record is from RNAcentral.
UACGUAGGGGGCUAGCGUUGUCCGGAAUCAUUGGGCGUAAAGAGCGUGUAGGCUGCUCGGUAAGUCCGCUGUAAAAGUCAAAGGCUCAACCUUUGAAUGUCAGUGGAUACUGCCGGGCUAGAGUCCGGAAGAGGCGAGUGGAACUCCUGGUGUAGCGGUGGAAUGCGCAGAUAUCGGGAGGAACACCGGUGGCGAAGGCGGUUCUCUGGGCCUUACCUGACGCUGAGGAGCGAAAGCGUGGGGAGCGAACAGG